AGUGAACGCUGGCGGUAGGCCUAACACAUGCAAGUCGAACGGCAGCACAGUAAGAGCUUGCUCUUACGGGUGGCGAGUGGCGGACGGGUGAGGAAUACAUCGGAAUCUACUUUUUCGUGGGGGAUAACGUAGGGAAACUUACGCUAAUACCGCAUACGACCUACGGGUGAAAGCAGGGGAUCUUCGGACCUUGCGCGAUUGAAUGAGCCGAUGUCGGAUUAGCUAGUUGGCGGGGUAAAGGCCCACCAAGGCGACGAUCCGUAGCUGGUCUGAGAGGAUGAUCAGCGACACUGGAACUGAGACACGGUCCAGACUCCUAAGGGAGGCAGCAGUGGGGAAUAGUGGACAAUGGGCGCAAGCCUGAUCCAGCUAUACCGCGUGGGUGAAGAAGGCCUUCGGGUUUUAAAGCCCUUUUGUUGGGAAAGAAAAGCAGCAGGUUAAUACCCCGCUGUUCUGACGGUACCCAAAGAAUAAGCACCGGCUAACUUCGUG
RNAcentral lists this ribosomal RNA (492 nucleotides) under uncultured bacterium. RNAcentral describes it as "partial 16S ribosomal RNA". It matches the Rfam family "Bacterial small subunit ribosomal RNA", at positions 29 to 507 of the family's 1533-position model. The record is from RNAcentral.